GGGUUGUGAGGUUAAGCGACUAAGCGUACACGGUGGAUGCCCUGGCAGUCAGAGGCGAUGAAGGACGUGCUAAUCUGCGAUAAGCGUCGGUAAGGUGAUAUGAACCGUUAUAACCGGCGAUUUCCGAAUGGGGAAACCCAGUGUGUUUCGACACACUAUCAUUAACUGAAUCCAUAGGUUAAUGAGGCGAACCGGGGGAACUGAAACAUCUAAGUACCCCGAGGAAAAGAAAUCAACCGAGAUUCCCCCAGUAGCGGCGAGCGAACGGGGAGCAGCCCAGAGCCUGAAUCAGUGUGUGUGUUAGUGGAAGCGUCUGGAAAGGCGCGCGAUACAGGGUGACAGCCCCGUACACAAAAAUGCACAUGCUGUGAGCUCGAUGAGUAGGGCGGGACACGUGGUAUCCUGUCUGAAUAUGGGGGGACCAUCCUCCAAGGCUAAAUACUCCUGACUGACCGAUAGUGAACCAGUACCGUGAGGGAAAGGCGAAAAGAACCCCGGCGAGGGGAGUGAAAAAGAACCUGAAACCGUGUACGUACAAGCAGUGGGAGCACGCUUAGGCGUGUGACUGCGUACCUUUUGUAUAAUGGGUCAGCGACUUAUAUUCUGUAGCAAGGUUAACCGAAUAGGGGAGCCGAAGGGAAACCGAGUCUUAACUGGGCGUUAAGUUGCAGGGUAUAGACCCGAAACCCGGUGAUCUAGCCAUGGGCAGGUUGAAGGUUGGGUAACACUAACUGGAGGACCGAACCGACUAAUGUUGAAAAAUUAGCGGAUGACUUGUGGCUGGGGGUGAAAGGCCAAUCAAACCGGGAGAUAGCUGGUUCUCCCCGAAAGCUAUUUAGGUAGCGCCUCGUGAAUUCAUCUCCGGGGGUAGAGCGCUGUUUCGGCAAGGGGGUCAUCCCGACUUACCAACCCGAUGCAAACUGCGAAUACCGGAGAAUGUUAUCACGGGAGACACACGGCGGGUGCUAACGUCCGUCGUGAAGAGGGAAACAACCCAGACCGCCAGCUAAGGUCCCAAAGUCAUGGUUAAGUGGGAAACGAUGUGGGAAGGCCCAGACAGCCAGGAUGUUGGCUUAGAAGCAGCCAUCAUUUAAAGAAAGCGUAAUAGCUCACUGGUCGAGUCGGCCUGCGCGGAAGAUGUAACGGGGCUAAACCAUGCACCGAAGCUGCGGCAGCGACGCUGAUGCGUUGUUGGGUAGGGGAGCGUUCUGUAAGCCUGCGAAGGUGUGCUGUGAGGCAUGCUGGAGGUAUCAGAAGUGCGAAUGCUGACAUAAGUAACGAUAAAGCGGGUGAAAAGCCCGCUCGCCGGAAGACCAAGGGUUCCUGUCCAACGUUAAUCGGGGCAGGGUGAGUCGACCCCUAAGGCGAGGCCGAAAGGCGUAGUCGAUGGGAAACAGGUUAAUAUUCCUGUACUUGGUGUUACUGCGAAGGGGGGACGGAGAAGGCUAUGUUGGCCGGGCGACGGUUGUCCCGGUUUAAGCGUGUAGGCUGGUUUUCCAGGCAAAUCCGGAAAAUCAAGGCUGAGGCGUGAUGACGAGGCACUACGGUGCUGAAGCAACAAAUGCCCUGCUUCCAGGAAAAGCCUCUAAGCAUCAGGUAACAUCAAAUCGUACCCCAAACCGACACAGGUGGUCAGGUAGAGAAUACCAAGGCGCUUGAGAGAACUCGGGUGAAGGAACUAGGCAAAAUGGUGCCGUAACUUCGGGAGAAGGCACGCUGAUAUGUAGGUGAAGUCCCUUGCGGAUGGAGCUGAAAUCAGUCGAAGAUACCAGCUGGCUGCAACUGUUUAUUAAAAACACAGCACUGUGCAAACACGAAAGUGGACGUAUACGGUGUGACGCCUGCCCGGUGCCGGAAGGUUAAUUGAUGGGGUUAGCCGCAA
RNAcentral lists this ribosomal RNA (1882 nucleotides) under Escherichia coli. RNAcentral's name for it is "partial 23S ribosomal RNA". It matches the Rfam family "Bacterial large subunit ribosomal RNA", at positions 1 to 1898 of the family's 2925-position model. The record is from RNAcentral. Lineage: Bacteria; Pseudomonadati; Pseudomonadota; Gammaproteobacteria; Enterobacterales; Enterobacteriaceae.